UUCCGGUUGAUCCCGCCGGAUCUGACUGCUAUCGGAUUGAUACUAAGCCAUGCGAGUCUUUGCAGUAAUGCAAGGCAUACGGCUCAGUAACACGUAGUCAACUUACCCUAUGGACGAGGAUAAUCUCGGGAAACUGAGCAUAAUACUCGAUAGAUCAUAAUGCCUGGAAUGGUUUAUGGUUGAAAUGAUUCGUCGCCAUAGGAUAGGACCGCGGCCUAUCAGCUUGUUGGUGAGGUAAUGGCCCACCAAGGCGAUUACAGGUACGGGCUCUGAGAGGAGAAGCCCGGAGAUGGGUACUGAGACAAUGACCCAGGCCCUAUGGGGCGCAGCAGGCGAGAAAACUUUGCAAUGUGCGAAAGCACGACAAGGUUAAUCCGAGUGAUUUCUGCUAAAGAAAUCUUUUGCAAGUCAUAAAACCACUAGUGAAUAAGGGGUGGGCAAGUUCUGGUGUCAGCCGCCGCGGUAAAACCAGCACCUCAAGUGGUCAGGAGGAUUAUUGGGCCUAAAGCAUCCGUAGCCGGCUCUGUAAGUUUUCGGUUAAAUCCAUGUGCUCAACGCAUGGGCUGUCGAAAAUACUGCAUAGCUAGGGAGUGGGAGAGGUAGACGGUACUCGGUAGGAAGGGGUAAAAUCCUUUGAUCUAUCGAUGACCACCUGUGGCGAAGGCGGUCUACCAGAACACGUUCGACGGUGAGGGAUGAAAGCUGGGGGAGCAAACCGGAUUAGAUACCCGGGUAGUCCCAGCUGUAAACGAUGCAGACUCGAUGAUGCAUUGGCAUAUAGCCAGUGCAGUGUCGCAGGGAAGCCGUUAAGUCUGCCGCCUGGGAAGUACGUACGCAAGUAUGAAACUUAAAGGAAUUGGCGGGGGAGCACCACAAGGGGUGAAGCCUGCGGUUCAAUUGGAGUCAACGCCGGG
This 914-nucleotide ribosomal RNA is filed under the name uncultured archaeon. Its description in RNAcentral is "bacterial SSU rRNA". It matches the Rfam family "Archaeal small subunit ribosomal RNA", at positions 1 to 922 of the family's 1478-position model. The record is from RNAcentral.